UACCAAAAGCCAAAUAUAAAGGGAUUCUAGCAUGUCCACAUCAUCAAUUAUAUUUGGCCAAUAAGAACAUUUCAUUAAUCCACCCUGGCAAAAGAAUUGGGUAGCAGAUCUCUUUCUUUCUACGGGCUCUGCUGUGUUUGAUGGGCUUCUCCGGAUCGUGUUGGACUGUGUUACCCAGUUCGAAUAAAAAAAAAAAAGGCACGACGGAUAAUACGAGGCGCUACGCUUCUCGCUCAUCGUCUUCCACCUUUCUUCACCAUCGUUUCUGCGUCUCCCUCCCUCCCUUCCUUUACUAUACGUUACUCGGUAUCAUCUCUUCAUCUCCCUACGCCCCUUCCAUCAUCCCCUCUUCAAAUGAUACACUUAUAUUCAAUUUUUUUUCCUCCGCUGUUGUUGCUGGUCAAUCAGCCGGCCCCCUACUACUCUUCAUAGAUGGAAAGAUGAUACAGACCCUGCCGUGUACUCCGAGACGAUUGUAGAGUGUUCAUGGGAUCAGGAUGAGAAAGUCUGGGUACGCGAGUCAGGGUGGAUAAAUCAACGCCAAAUGAUAUCAACACUUAGAGAAAGAUGUUGCAGGCCAGAUAUGGGCCGUCCAAGGCUCCACUCUCAACAACGUCACCGUUGUUGUCGUCCUAGACCCGUAAGCCCUCAUCAACCAUUUCGUAGGUUUCAUUUUCACUUAUCUGCCAAUUUUAUUUUUCUUAAAACUCACACACUCCUUCAACAGAUAUGUGGUGGUGUAUUUGUCUUUGUGGGAUGAUGCUUUUAGGGGACACUUGAACUCCACUGAUGUAACUCUGUCAGUUAUGGUUCUCACCACGGUCUAUCCAAAAAUAUUUGUUGGUAACCUGUAUCUUAACUCAACUCAACUCCGGCCACCAAGUUCUACUUUGACACCACCAUCCCCGCCAUUGAAGCAUUCACAGAGAGGUUUGUGACGCAAAUGUUCAACACCUAGCUUGAGAGUGUGCAGCAGAAAUCGUUUUCACACGUGUGGAAACCAUGGAGGGGGGAAUUAAAAAGAAAGAGCUUGUGACAAUUGGUGAUCUUCAUGCCUAUCUGUCCAACUCCAACGACCAUAGCCAGGAAGCAGAUUUUCUCUGUCAAGCUAGGAUUGUCAACGUCUUUCAGCAGAAUGGCUGGUCUUAUGUCUCUUGCACCGGUUGCAGACGGAAGUUGCAAAGUGUGGCACCUCUCUACGCUGCAACAGAUGUGUUUCACCCAAUGUCACUGGAGUCAAAGACUCACCCAUGUCCAACAAAACGCUCCAAAUUGUUAAUGAUCAUAACAACUUGAGGCUAUUUUACGCAGCUUCUGUGUAGAGCUGUCCGUUGAAGAUGGCAAAGACAGUGUCACAUUUUUGGUGUUUGAUACCGAGUUGUCUAAACUAAACAAAAUGAAAGCACCACCCUAUCUUUGGAGGAGAAACCACUAUCGGCUACCGCCACUGGGGAUUCCUUCAGCAAUGCCAAGUAAGUUGAUGAAGCAAAACUUCCAAGCUUGGCUGAGGAAGAGAAGACUUGCAAACGCCCCCGUGAAUGAUUGGUCGGAGUCCAGCAAACCGUCAACCCCACUUAGCUUUCAUGUGUUUUCACUUUUCUAAAUUCCUAUGUUUUUCUUUUUUUGAGCAAAAAAUCCUAUCUUUUCCAAUUUCUGAGUUUUCGUAUUGUUUCAAAAUUUCUGCAAACUAUCACCCACUAAGGUUAGCAUUUACUUUUUUUUUUAUUAAUUUAUGGGGAACAUUGAAGAGUAUUAGUAUUUUCUAUGUCCACUUAUACACUUUAUUUUAUCAUGGAAUGCAAAUUCAUACAUUCCCUAA
Molecule: long non-coding RNA, 1819 nt
Organism: Brassica rapa (field mustard)
Lineage: Eukaryota; Viridiplantae; Streptophyta; Magnoliopsida; Brassicales; Brassicaceae
Source: RefSeq, a predicted model, not a curated record